This 14048-nucleotide long non-coding RNA is filed under the name Marmota monax (woodchuck). Lineage: Eukaryota; Metazoa; Chordata; Mammalia; Rodentia; Sciuridae. The record is from RNAcentral.
UAUUAUUAUUAUUAUUAUUAUUAUUAUUAUUAUUAUUUUGGUACUGAGGAUUGAAUUCAGGGAUACUCAACCACUGAGCCAUGUCCCCAGCCCUAUUUUGUAUCUUAUUUGAGACAGAGUCUCACCAAGUUGCUUAGAGACUCACUUUUUGCUGAGGCUGGAUUUGAAUUUAUAAUCCUCCUGUCUUUGCCUCCUGAGCCACUGGGAUUACAGGCAUGCACCACCAUGCCCAGCUCAAGUAUUAUCUUUUUAUCAUUCACCAAAAUUAAUUAAAACAAUAAGAAGGUCAUUAUUUGUCUACUUAAAAUUAAAAAGAUUUACAGAAGAUUAAAUAUUUUGCUUAACUUUACCUGGGUGGAACGUGACCAGGCCUGGACAUGAAUCCAAUAUCCAAAAUAUGCUGUGGGUUUUCCACCACAUGGCAAACUCUCUUCUUUUGGAGUUAGUUUUACCAGUUGCUGUUUCAGCAGCAUGUCACCCACUUGGCUCUUACACUUAUGUAUACAUUAGGAAUAAUUCUGGCCACAAUAACAAUAGUCCACUUUAUCUACGGUUUUGCAUUCUGUAAUAUCAGUUACUCAAAUUCAACUGUGUUUCAAAAAUACUGAAUGGAAAAUUCCAGAAAUAAUCAAUCUACAAGUUUUGAACUGCCUGCUGAUUUGAUAGUGUGAUGAAAUUUUGUGCCAUCCUUCUUCCUCACACCUGGGAUGUGGAUCAUCUUAUUGCCCAGUGUAUCCACAUUCUAUAUGCUACCCCUUUGUUAGUUGCUUGGUACCUAUCUCACUCUCAGACUAACUAUGGUGGCAAGGCAGUGCUUGCAUUCAGGUAACUCUACUCCAAAGCACAGGGGUAAUCCAGCUGGCAAUUCACAUGUGCUAAAGAGAAGUCAAAAUAUUUCUUUCAAGUAAAGAGAAGGAGUUUUUGAUUUAACCAGAAAGGGGGAAAAAUGGUAAUCUGAUGUCCCUAAGAAUUACAGUCACAAUGAGAUUAUGAAGGACAAAGAAAUUUGUACGUGUUUUUACUGUCACUUUAAACUUUGAAAGCUCUAGCCACAGUGUAUACUUGCUUCAUCAAAAAGGAAAAAAAAAACAUUGAAUUAUAGAGUUUAGUACAUCCAUUGAGAUAUAUCCCCCAUAGAUAAGGAAACCACUGUAUCAGAAUACCUAAGAGUCCACUAAACAAUAUUGUAAAUUGGUUUCUGACAGAGCCUGUUUGAGAUGAACUAUUUCAUUGGGAGUUUUUUCAGGAGCAUCACCUUAGAGAUAGUGAAGGGUAGAUGAACAUAUAAAAUAUAUAUAUUUUAACACUAUACACACACACACACACACACACACGGACAAUACCAAGGAUGUGUGGUAGCACUUCAGAUGAGAUAGCCCUUGAGAGUUAGCCAUUUUGAGAAAUGACACUCAGGUUUUCAAUUAGUCAUUGGAUGCAACUUUCCUCAGGAAAGGGGGCAUAUUUUUGAGGAGGCUGUCUUCAACUAAUGCAAUUCUGGAAGAGGAAUUGACAGCUCAGAGAUGUCGCUCAAGAUCUUCUUAGGACUUGGGAGAGUAAAUAUCUCCAUCCUGGAUAGAGAUUCAGCCAGCAUAGCACUGUGUUCACCGAAACAAACACCUUGGUUUUAUCUAUGACAAGAAAUCUAUAUUUUAAUAGUUGCUAAGGAUUUUGGUUCAGCCAGUCAAUGACAUCAGUUCUGCGGUAUUACUGUCUUGUUCUUGGUCGGUCUUUCUUUCUUUCUUUUUAAUUUUUUUUAGUUGUAUAUGGACAUAAUGCCUUUAUUUUAUUUAUUUAUUUUUAUGUGGUGUUGAGGAUGGAACCCAGUACCUCAUACAUGAGAGACAAGUGCUCUGCCACUGAGCCACAAUCCCAGCCCCUCUUGGUCUUUAUUUAUAAAAAACAUAAUGUUGAUCCAAUUUCAUUAAUCAAAAUUUGGAAAAGGGAAAAACAAGGUGGUAUCAAUCAUUAUGGCUCUCUUUAUUAAGCAACCUAAAGUUGGCCUUAAAGUCCUAGGAGAGGCUUACUCUUUAUUCUUAUUGUCAAUGAUUGGGUCACAGGACAAGAGAUAUUGGCAAAUUUGAUCCUUUUUUUUUCUUUUGAAGAUCAAAGAUUGUCUUGAUUCACUUACAUUAUUUUUCCUGACGCUUGAAAUAUAGUUCCCUGAUGAGGCUUGUUAAUAAAAGAAAAGCCAGGAUAGAUAACAUGGAAAGCCAAGGAGCAGGAUUAGUCACCGGUCGUUUUAUUCUUGUUUUGUAACCACAUUGACCUCUAAAAAGUGUAUACUUUAAUGCCAUCCUAAUGGUUGCUUAGGAUAUUGGUUGCUUAGGAUCUGGGGCAUCUGAGGAGGGAGGAUCUGAGGUUUGGCACAGAGCAAAUAUCACUUCUUCUAAACUAGAGCUUAUCUUAACUCAAUCAAUACCUUUGAAUCUGCAGAUGGACAAAGAAGAAGAAAGUGUGAGUGCAAAGAACAGGGAUAAUGCUCUGGAUUUAGGUGGGAAUUCCACCCUUGUGUGUAAUAGGUUACAAAAGAAUGACUAAAGAUAUCCAGUUCUACUUAAUGAGAACUAGCCUAUCCUUUCAUUUAGAUCAAAUCUCUUUACCACCAAACGCAUUUCGAGUCCUAGUAGCUUUGUCUCAGUGCUGCUGUGUAUUGGCAUUGAUUUUGGACUAUAUUGCGUCUGCAGUAAAUUAGCUUAGUGAGUCUUGAAAAAUGGGGUCAUAGAGUCCUUAGAAAUUUAGGGCUGGAGAGAUUUUGGAAAUCAUCUCAUGCAAAGCUCAUAAUUUUAUACACAGGAAACUGUAUAAACUGAGGUCAAGAAAGGGCAAGUAGCCCCAAAGAAAUAUAGGUAUGAACUUUUGAAAAAUCUGUUUGUUUUUUUUCCUUUUUCUUUCUUAUUAAGCACUAGUUAGGCAUUUUACUGAUCUUGGACUUCUCUUUGGAUUGAUUUGAGCAGAAUAUGAUUGUGAUUGUCACCAAAAGUUGAAAAAAAAUGUUUAUAUUCAGGGAAAAGAAAUGACAUCAAAAAAAAAGAUAGCUUAAAUAAUUUUUGUAAGAUUGAAGUCUACUUUGUGAGCCAAAGUAAGUCAAACAUUAGAAGUACCACCUUUUGACAAAGUAAUUAUUUUAAAAAUAAUACUUGAUGAUUGUUAUUAAAUUCACAGAACAAUUAACAUGUUUCUGAAUCAGCAAAAUAAAAUAGAUAUUUCAGCAAACAGCUAUUUAACUUGGUGAUGUCCCAGCAGUCCAAAUCUAAACAUAGAUUUCAAUGGCUCAAGUUUGUUUAAUGGGAAAACCUAUCCAAAGAGAAACAUUUGUUUCAUCUGUAGUGAGGAAAUAUUCAUCUGCUAUUAGGUUGGUACAGAAAGCCAAGAGUUUGCAAAAAUUUCCACCGCCUGCUUGUUGCUUGUGAUCCAAUUGAUGAAAAUAUUUGAAUAAAAAAGAAAAGAAAAAAAAGGAAAAGAAAAUCAAUGGGGUGGGUGGUCAAUCACUUUUUAAAAUGCAGCUUUGGCAAAACAUUAUGUGGGGAUUGGGCAUUUCAACAACUGAAUAACAUUUUUUUUCUGUUAUUGGAUGUGCUACCUUUGGGAGUACAAAUAGAAUUCCAGCACCAAUGAACUGGCAAAGGUGAAUUUAAAUAGCAAAGUCAUCUGCAAUAGUGACUAUUGUGAGAGGGACUUUCAAGACACUGGAUGCUUCUUUAAUGUUCUGUUUUAGCCCAUAAUAAUUAGAAAACCAUCCAAACUAUUCUUUUGUUUCUGCAUUCAAUGUUUUAAUAAUGUGUAUCAAUUCAUUUUGCUGAUGAUAUUUGGAUUGAACCCAGGGCUUCCUAUAUACUAUAUAAGUUUUUUACCACUGAGCUGUACCUGUAGCCAAAUAAUAUGCAUUAGAUGGAAAUUUGCUUGAUAAAAUUUUACCUUAUAAUAAGAGGGGACAUUGGAGAGAUUUCUGGUUAAAAUGUUUCAUUUUGUAAUCAAAGACAUCAAGGCAAGAUAGGACAACUAACUUUGUCACAAUCUCAGAGCUAGUUGUGACAGGCUUCAGGGUUCUUCCAUUAUAUUCUAUUAUUCUAGAAAGAAUGAUGGGUGGCAGGUAUCUCUCAGUCUCUACUGUCUUAACACAGUCUAUAAAAUUAGGCUGUACAUUGAACCAGCAUAUCUUUUUUCACUGUUUUCACAACAGGACAAGAUAUAAAGGAUGGUUAAAGGCAUAGUUUUUAAGAAGCAACAAAUAAGAGGAAAUAAAUGCUAUAAAACACAGAAGCAUAUUAUGCUUAUCAUAAGGGAAAAUAGUUUUACAUGUUUUAACAGAUCUUGAGAACUUGUAUGUACAUGAAACACACUUCAAUAUUUGAGGUUCAUUUGGACUGUUUAGAAUUCCCAAGGCAUUUUAGGAUACAUAUACGUUAUUUUGUAUAUGCUUAAAAUCUUAAGAAGAGAAAAACUAUAUGGAGACUUAAAAUUUGAAUAAGGCAAAUUUUCACACAACCUCUAACAAUCAGAAACAAAAUGUAAUUUCAGUGAUAUUUAUUGAACUUCUGAUAGAAAAAUCACAUAUUGAUAUAAUUAAAAUCAAUGCCUCAUAUAACCUAUCAUUGAACUAUGUAUUGGGCAUUGUCAACUCCGGAAAUCUCACUAUUUUUUAAAAUUUGAAGGCACAUUUUUUGGGAUUAUAUUUUAUAUAUAAUUUAAGACCCUUGACCUUUUAAGUUUAGCUUAUUUCGAUUAAUAUAAUGUUUUCAAGUUCCAUCCAUUUUCCUGCAAAUGACAUAAUUUCAUUUUUCUUUAUGGUGGCAUCAAACUCCAUUGUGUAUAUGUACCACAUUAUUUUUUAUCCACUCAUCCAUUGAUAGACACCAAGGCUGGUGCCAUAGUAGGGCUAUUUGAAUUGUGCUUCUAUAAACAUGAAUAUGUUUGUGUUGCUAUCAUAUGCUGACUUUAAUUCUUUAGGAUAAUAUGAAUGAGUGCUACAGCUAGUAGCUGUAGACUCCUAGUCUUUGGAGGAAAGGAACCUCCAUACACUCUUUCAAUUAUUAUAAAUAUAUAAUCCCAAAAAUAUGCCUUCAAAUUUUAAAAAAUAGUGAGGCUUCCAGAGUUGACAAUGUCAGUGUUUGGAAAAAAAGAUUUUUGGUACUGAUCAUGAAUUUCUUGCCAGAUGUAAACAAAUGGUGUUUUGCUUUGGCAUACACAUAAAGAUAAUUUUUAAGUUCAAUUUGCAUUUCUAAAUGCUAAUCUGGAAAGACACAUGCCCCUUUUUGCAUUAUAAAACAAAACACACCAGUGCCAUUCUAUGUCAUUUUUCCAUUAAACUUCUUCCUUUGACUAUGGCCCUUCAUGGUAACAAAUGGGCCAUAACAAAGAGCAGGGAGAUAUUACUUGUCCCAUAAGUUCUUUGUCAUUGAUCUCUACUAUUAUUAGGAUAAGACACUGGUACCUCAAACAAUGCCCACCCCUGAUAUGAAAAUAGAUCUUUUGUUAUGUGUCUAUUGUUACAAUUCUCCAAUAUUACAAUUAAAACCUAGAGAUUAUUUUAAUCAAGUGUUAGUCACAGAAAGUGAUGUUGCAAAAAAAUGUAAUAGUCCAGGAACAACCUGAAAUGAGACAAACCCUGUGCAAAAAUUCUACAAGGCUUUCAAUGAAGAAUUAACACCAAUACUCCUUAAAUUAUUCCAUGAAAUAGAAAAGGAGGGAACUCUUCCAAACUCAUUCUAUGAUGUUAGUAUCACACUGUUACCAAAAGCGGGCAAAGACACAUAAAGGAAAGAAAAUUUCAGACCAAUACCCCUAAUUAAUAGAGAUGCAAGAAUUCUCAAUAAAAUUCUGGCAAACUGCAUGCAAAUCAUAUUAAAAAGAUAGUGCGCCAUAAUCAAGUGGAGUUUAUCACAGGGAUGCAAGGUUGGUUCAAGAUACAGAAAUCAGUUAGCAUAAUUUAUCACAUCAAGAAUCAUAUGAUCAUCUCAACAGAUGCAGAAAAAGCACUAGUCAAAAUAGAGCUCCCCUUCAUGUUCAAAACUCUAGAAAAACUAGGGAUAAUAGGAACAUAUCUCAACAUUGUAAAAGCUAAAUAUGCUAAGCCCAAGGCCUAAAUCAUUCUAAAUGGAGAAAAAUUGAAAGCAUACCCUCUAAAAACUGGAAGAAGAAUUUCAAGAAUUCUGGUUAGAAUUCUUGAAAUUCUAGCCAGGGAAAUUAGACAGGAGAAAGAAAUUAAAGAGAUAUAAAUAGGGAAGGAAGAACUCACACUAUCACUAUUUGCCAAUCACAUGAUUCUGUAUUUAGAAGACUCAAACAUUCCACCAGAAAUCUUCUAUAACUAAUAAUAAAUGAAUUCAGCAAAGUAGCAGGAUAGAAAAUCAACACCCAUAAAUCAAACAUGUUCCUAUACAUCACUGAUGUAUCCACUAAAAGAGAAAUUAGAAAAACUACCCCAUUCAUAAUAACCUUAAAAAAAUAAAAUACUUGGGAAUCACUCUAACAAAAGAAGUAAAGAACUCUAUAAUGAAAACUAUGGAACAUAAAAGACAUAAGUUGAAGAAGACCUUAGAAGAUGGAAAGGUUGCCCUUGCUCCUGGAUAGGCAGAAUUAAUAUUGUCAAAAUAGACAUUCUACCAAAAGAAUUAUACAUAUGUAAUGCAAUGCCUACUAAAAUCAUAAUGACAUUCUUUAUAGAACUAGAAGAAGUAAUCAUGAAAUUCAUUUGGAAAAAUAAGAGACCCAGAAUAACAGAAGUAAUCCUUAGCAAGAAGAGUGAAAUAUGAGGCGUAAUACCAGAUUUUAAACUAUAUUACUCAGCCAUAGUAACAAAAAUGGCAUGAUAUUGGCACCAAAACAAAACAUAAACCAAUGGUACAGAACAGAAGACACAGAUAUAAACCUAGAUAAAUAUGAUUAUCUCAUAGUAGAAAAAGGUGCCACAAACAUUCAUUGGAGGAAAGAAAGCCUCUUCAAUAAAUGGUGCUGGGAAAACUGGAAAUCGAUCUGUAUCAAAAUGAAAUUAAACCCCUGUCUCUCACCCUGCGCAAAACUCAACCCAAAGUGAAUCAAAGGCUUAGGCACUAAACAGAAGCCCAGCACCUAAUACAAGAAAAAGUAGGCCCAAAGCUUCACGAUGUUUGGCUUAGGAUCUGACUUCCUUAACAAGACUCCUAAAGCACAAGAAGUAAAAUCAAAAAUGAAUGAAUGAGAUAGAUUCAAAUUAAAAACAAAAAGCAGUCUUCUCGGCAAAGAAAACAAUCAAUAUGGUGAAAAGAGAGUCUACAGAAUGGGAUAAAAUCUUUACUAGAGGCCCCUCAGAUAAAGCAUUAAUCUCAAGAACUCAAAAAUCUUAUCACUGAAAACAAAAUAACCCAGUUAAUAAAAGGGCUAAGGAACUGAAGAGACACUUCACAGAAGAAGAAAUUCAAUUGAUCAACAAAUAUAUAAAAAAUGUUCAACAUUUGUAGCAAUUAGAGAAAAGCAAAUCAAAACUACUCUAAUAUUUCAUCUCACUCCAGUCAAAAUGGCAAUUAUUAAGAAUACAGGAAACAAUAAAUGUUGCAAGGAUGUGGGGGAAAAGGUACACGCAUACACUGCUGGUGGGACUGCAAAUUGAUGCAACCACUAUGGAAAGCAGUAUGGAGAUUCCUUAGAACACUUGGAAUGGAAUUACCAUUUGACCCAUCUAUCUUGGGUCAAAUCCUUGAUUUAUACCCAAAGGUCUUUAGUCACCAUACUACAGUGACACAGUCACAUCAAUGUUUAUAGCAGCUCAACUCACAAUAGCUAAAAUAUGGAACCAAACUUGAUGCCCUUCAAUAGAUGAAUGUUUAAAGAAAAUAUGGUGUAUAUACACACAAUGGAGUAUUAGUCAGCCUUAAAGAAGAAUAAAAUUAUGGCAUUUUCUGGUAAAUGGAUGCAGCUAGAGAACAUUAUGCUAAGUGAAAUAAGCCAAUCCCAAAAAUGUUUUCUCUGAUAUACUGAUGCUACUUCACAAUAAGGGUGUGUGUGUUAAGGAACAAUAGAGCCAUCCUGGACUAGGCAGAGGGAAGUAAAGUGAGGUGAGUGGGUAUGGGAAUAGGAAGGACAGUAGAAUGAAUUGGACAUUAUUACACUAUAUGCAUAUAUGACCACACUGCCAGCGUGAUUCUGCGUAACGUACCAACAGAAGAAUGAGAAGUUUUGAAGUGUCAAAAUACAUUCUACUAUCGUGUCUCUGUAUUUUUAAAGGGAUAGUAACAAAAAUGUGAAUAUGUGAAAUUUGUGACAGAGACCAUUAUGUGUAUUACUUAGUCUAGAAACUUACCAUUUCGAUUUUUAGAGAAAAACUUUGCUGACACCUAUGUUAAGUAUGGUAUGUAUAUAGUUGAUGUUUAAUUUAAACUCCUCACACUCGGAGGAGCACUAUACUAAUAUUGACAAAGGGAAUGGGUGAAUCAAAAAGUGUGAAGAGGUACAGGUUAAAGGUAGCAUUUAUAAGGUGUAAACAUCUCAAGCUCACGAUAAUUUUUUAUAUAUUAUUCUCAAUUCUGGUUAGAAGGAAUGAUCUUUUCCCAUCAUGUUAUAUUUUUGUAUGGAGAAUAGGCCAAAUUGUCCUAUGUCACUCAUUUGUAGUGAUACAGGCAAUUGUAAUUCACAAACAUGAACUAAAACAUUUCUAGCAGUGGUAAGAAUUUUUAAAAUGGGAAUUUUUAAAAAGACUAUUUAAAUCACAAAGCAGUAGAAAAUACUUGAGUAAUUGAAGGUAUAGUUUAUGAUAGAAAAUUAAAAUUUCUCAAUAACCAUUAUAUGUAUUAAUGAUAACAAUAAUAUAUUUAAUCUUGUGAUCAGAAAGCAAUAAUUUUGGCCUUUCCCUUUCAGUUCUAAAAAGAUUGGAAUUAGGUUUAUGAAGCAAAUUUAAUCUAAUUUGCAACUUGAAAAAUGAGAACACUGCCUUCCAUAGUUUUGUUUAAUAGAAUCGAGGUUAGCAAAAUUUGUGGGGAAUGGAAUGUUGCUGGGAUUGACUCAGUUUCCCCCUUACACAUGCCUCUUGAAUGAAAAUACUUUUAAUAAUCAUCUGUCAGAAACUUUAUUCAAUUAUCUAGCUGUUAUAUUUUGAAGUUUUGUUCUAAUGAAGGAGAGUUAGCAAUAAUAGAUUGAUUUCUGAUUUUGCUUUUUAAAAAAAAAUAGAAGAAAAUUAUUGGUGUUAAAAUAUCAAUUUAGAAUCAUUUUUAAAUGAAUAAAUAUUUCAGUGAAUUCAUCACAAAAUAAUUUACUGAGUAUGAUGUAAGUUUGUAAAACUGGAUAUAGCCAGUAUUCAAUUAUUGAGGGAUUAUAUCGAAAUUUUCAAGUUGACCAACAGAGAUAGAGAAAGAGACAGAGGGUGGGGAGAGAGAGAGAAAGGAAAGAGGAAAAGAGAGAAAUUGAGAGUGGUGGGGAGAUGGAGAGAGAGAGACAUAGGAGUUCUAUUAAAAAUAAACAAAAACAAAAAGAAGCAGAUUGUAGAUGUGAUUGACCUCUGAAAAGUCAUGGGAUCCCAUGGGAAAAAAACAAAAACAAAAAAAUCUUAAUUCUUUAAAUAUAAGACUAAUCAGCCCCAAUGUACCCACUAUCAAUUUUUACUAAAGCAAAAUACACCAAGAAUUGGGAUCACAUUUUGUUUAAUGCCAUUCAUAGUUUAACUUCAUGGUAUGUAUAUGAAAAUCUUACAUUAUUAACCACCCAAGCCCAUCUCUUUUAAAAUCAUGUCAAAAUAUUUCUAGUAGGAGUUGAUUUUGAAUAACCAGAAUACCACACUAAUUAUUUUUCAAACAAAAAGCUCCAUAGACUGCAAACUGUAAUAAAAUUUGCUGGCUCAAUGACCCAAGUAUUUAUUGAAUUCACUGUGGAUCAACAUUUAAGCUGGGAUUUGCUAGAAGAAUCAAUUUCAUCUUCUCACAUGACAGGGGUUAUCAGGCUAUUAUCCAGAAUGACUAAGAAAAGAUAACUGUGUUAUGUUUUUCUCCCCUCCAUCCAGUAUUCGGGUGUAAAGAAGUUUUCUUGUAUAAUGCAGACCUACAAGAGUAAGUCCAGCCAAAUAAGAAUGCCAGGGCAGAAAUGUCCUCAUGCUCCAGAAACUUGAGCUAGCAUCAAUCACAGUGACUGCUUAAACAUCGGAUAAAGAAAGUCACAUGACUAAACUCAAAAUUAAACAGGAGAAGCACUGCAAGGCUAAGAGUCCAAAGAACAUGCAUAAGGAGCAUAUUAAUUGUGUCUGUGAAUACAAACAGUUUGCCACAAAGAACUUGUUUUCUUCAUGUUCUUAAUAUAUUUACAUGUACAUUUUCUCUACCUAAUGACCCCCUGAUGAAAUAUCAUUUUAAAAAUUAUUCCUAAUCAAGUUCAUUUGGGAUAUAAUUUACAUACACUAAAAUUCAUCUACUUUGAGUAUGCAUUUGCAUGAAUUUUGGAAAAUGAAUAUACUCAUGUAACCACUACUCCAAUCAGGUUGUAAAAUAUUUUCAAAUUCUUAAACAGUUCAUUCAUGGUUCUUUGUUGAAACGACCAAUGCCUGAAUCAGACAACCUUGAUAAGAUUUUUUUUCAUGCUAACUAGACAUUUGUUUGUUUGUUUGUAGAAAUUAUAUGUUCACAGCAAAAUUGAGCAUAAGAAAUUUUACAAAUAUCUCCUGUCCCCCCAACACAAAUAGCCUCCCCAGUUGUCAGUGUCUCUAACCACUGUUAUAUUUGUUCUAAUGGAAAAACCUACCUAGACACAUCAUUAGGACCCCAAAUCCACAGUUUACAUUAGGGUUCACUCUUGGUGUUGUACAUUAUGUAAGUCUUGACAUGAAUGAAUCCACCAUUAUAGUAUAGAGAGUAGGUUUCAUGCCCUAAAAAUCCUCUGUGCUCCACUCCAUCAUCUGCUCCCCCUGGACAAUCCCUGACUAUCUUGUUUUUUUUUUUUCUUCUUUUUUAAAAAAUAUUUUAAUAGUUUUGCUGUAUAGAAUGCAAGAAUGCCAAAUAUUUAGAAUUUUAUAAUACAUAAUCUUCAGAUUGAGUUGUUCCACUUGGCAAUAUGCAUUUAAGUUUCUUCUAUGUAUUUUCAGGAUUGAUAACUCAUUCCACUGUAAUGUUGAAAAAUAUUUCUUUGUUUGGAUGUGGAACAAUUUCUUUAGUCAUUCACCCACUAUAGUACAUUUUGACUGCUUCUGAAUUUUGGAAAUUAGAAAUAAAAUUGAGUAUUCCUGUGCAUGUUUUUGUGUGGAUUUGAUGUGAUUUUUAUUGCUAAAGAUUUUUCUGUUAUAGAAUUAUAUAUACAUGGAAUUAGAUUUUUCUUCUUUUCCAUUUUGCUCUUUUGUUCAGCAUAAUUUUUUUUGGUACUAGGGAUUAAACUCAGGGGUAUUCAACCACUGAGCCACAUCCCCAGCCCAAUUUUGUAUUUUUUAUUAGAGACAUCGCCUUAUCAUUGCUGAGGCUGGCUUUGAACUUGUGAUCCUCCUGUGUCAGCCUCCCACAUCAGCAUAAUAUUUAUGAUACAUUUAUGCAACAGAUACAUACAUCAGCACCCCUUUUCUUUUUCUGUUAAGAAAUAUUCCGUCAUAUGAAUAUGCUCUAAUUUUCUUAUUCAGCUGUUAUUAGACAUUGGGCUUUUCCAGUUUCGGGAUGUAAUAAAUACAGAUGCUAUAAACAUUUUUGUACAAGCCUUUUAAUAGAUACAUUUUUAUUUCUCUUAAUUAAACACUUUAGAAUGAUAGUAUGAACUCAUAUAGUUUAGGUGUUUUUAAUUUUAUAGAAAGUUGGAAACCUAUUUUCCAAAAUAGCUAUAAUAUUUUAUACUUUCAAUAGGAAUGUAUAAAAUGAUGCAUUGCUACACAUUCUUUCCAAUAGAAAGGAAAAGGACUUAUGAUUGAUUCACAUAUGGUCAAUAUUUUGAAAAAUACAGCCAUUCUGUUUGCAUGUAGUACAUUUUGUGGAAUUUUAAAGGAAAACAACCUUUUUGAAGUAUAACCCUCAAUAAAUGACCACAUUAGAGUGCAUUUUUAUGAGUUUUGUUAAAUGUACACAUCAGUGUAACCAUCACAGUCAAUAAAUCAAAAAUUUAUCUUCCAAAGGGUUGUCUUUUGCAGUUGAUCGUCCCCAUUCCUGGACUCUGGAAGUCAUGGAUCUUUAUUUCCACAGCUUUCCAUUGUUUUUUGCCUUCAUUGUGUCAUUUAAAUGCAGUCAUAUUAUAUGUACAUCUUUGUGUGUUACUCAGCAUGAUACUUUUGAGAUUUUUCUUUGUCACUUUGAGAAUCCAUUUCUUUUUAUGUUCAAUUGAUAUGCAUAAUUAUAUUACAAGUUCUUUUGCAAAGUCAUGGUUCUGUUUAGCAUGCUACCAGCAGUGUAUGAGAAUUGCUUUUGUUCUUAUUCUAUCACUUGAUUUUGCUGGACUUUUCAUUUUUAGAUACUUUAGUAUUUGUGUAUCUCACUGCAGUUCUAUUUGUUUCCUUGACAAGUGAUGAUUUUGAACAUCUCCACCUUAUUUGCCAGUUCAUAUUUUCUUUUGUAUGAUACCCAUUCAAAGUUUGUGCCUGAUUUCUGAACUUCCUCAUUUAUCUUCUCAUUAUUGGAUUAUGUGAAUUUUUUAUUAAUUCUGAAUACAAAUGUUUAUAUAAAUUCAAGCCAUUAAUUUUUCUCCCAUGGUAUAGAAGUUUUUCUUGUAUUAGUAUAGUGCUUACAUUAAGGCAUAGCAAAUUUGUCUUAACAUUUUGUUUUCAAAAUUUUACAUUACAGUAUACAUAUUAAACCUAUAAUCUGAUUUGAGUUCAUUUGAGUAUGUACUUUGAGUGAGGUAAAAAUAGACACUUGUUAGAGUCUAUAAACAAGUCAGGAUGGCGCCUGGCAAAUGUUAGAGUCUGUAAACAAGUCUGGAUGGCGCCUGGCAAAAUGCCAGAGGGAGUGGUUUGUGAAGUAACCCCAGCGAGCCAUUAUGUGUGGAGAUUUCUUAUUGGUUGACUGCUGUAUCAAGUUUAUGUUAAUUAAGAUAAGCUGUGUGGUAUGUAUCCUUCCGGUCCUACAAUAAAUGGCUCCUACUCCUGCUGUAUCAACGUACACAAGUUAUUUGUCACCCCCCGGUUAUUUUGCUGCAGCCAGCAGGACUGUGGCAGACACUCAUUACAUAUAUGGAAAUUACAUAAGCCUGAUAUAAUAUAUAUUUCUAUAUGUUGAUUAGAUAUAUCAUUACAUAUGUUUUAUAUGUAACUACAUAUUUAUUUUAUAAAAAAAUAUAUAAAUACAUAUUCAGUUGUUCUAGCACUCUUUCUUGUAGAUAAUUUUCUCCUUCCAUUAAAUGUUUUUGGAUGUUUUUGGAAAACAACGGACACCAAUAUGAAUAUUUGGGUAUAUUCUCUUCGAUCUUUAUCUGCAUGAUUUCCUGCACUGUUUUAUUGCAGUUUCAUUAAAAAGAAAGAAAGAAAAAAAAUCUUGACCUCAGGUCCUAUAAAUCCUCAAAAGUUUUUUUUUUUUUUUUUUCUUCUUCUAAUUGCUUUGGCUAUUGGCAGACCUUUGUAUAUAUUUGAGAAUCACCUGGUUGAAUUCUUCAAAAAUUAUUCUGAGUUUUCUUUUUUUUCACUAGAAUUUAAUUGAGUCUUUAUAUCAACAGUUCUGAAGGGUCAAGGUGCUGGCAGGGCUCUGAGGCUCUCGAGAGAAGUCUGUUCCAUGCCUUGCUCCAAGCUUCUAGCCAGCGCAGUCCCUGUGGUGUUCCUUGGCUUGUUAAUGCAUCCCUCAAAUCUCAACCUCUGUCUUAAUAUGCCAUUCUUCCCUUCCUAUGUCAAAUGUAUCUAGGUUGUGACCAGAUUUUUCUUGUUUUGUAAAGGAGACCAAUCAUUGUCUUAAGGGAAUAACCUAAUCUAAUAUGGUCAAAUCUUGGUUUUAUCUUCGAAGACCCUAUUUCCAAGUGAGAUUGUAUGUAUAAGUUCUAAGUAGACAUGGAUUUGGGGAACAGUAUUCAGUUUAGUGUAGUAUGAUUGUAAUGAACAUAUUUUUCAGUUUGAUUUUUAUAUUGAAAUAAAUAAAACUUUUAUGUUUACCAUACACCCUGUACUAUUGCUAAAUUUAUUUAUGAGUUGUAGAAGAUAUUUG